GACGAACGCUUGCGGCGUGCCUAAGAAAUGCAAGUCGAGCGAGGUUUAGGCUUCGGCCGACGACCUAGCGGCGAACGGUCGCGUAACACGUAAGCAACCUGCCCUAAAGUUGGGGAUAGCCCGCCGAAAGGCGGAUUAAUACCGAAUGUGGAUAUGAUUUCGCAUGUGAUUAUAUCUGAAGCAGCGAUGCGCUUUAGGAUGGGCUUGCGGCCUAUCAGUUAGUUGGUGUGGGUAACGGCCUACCAAGACGACGACGGGUAGCUGGUCUGAGAGGAUGGUCAGCCGGAUUGGGACUGAGACACGGCCCAGACUCCUACGGGGGCAGCAAUUAGGAAUCUUGCGCAAUGGGCGAAAGCCUGACGCAGCGACGCCGCGUGACUGAUGAAGUCUUUCGAGAUGUAAAGGUCUUUUGUUGGGGACAAGGAAGUGACGGUACCCGACGAAUAAGCCCCGGUAACUACGUG
This 464-nucleotide ribosomal RNA is filed under the name uncultured bacterium. RNAcentral describes it as "bacterial SSU rRNA". It matches the Rfam family "Bacterial small subunit ribosomal RNA", at positions 28 to 507 of the family's 1533-position model. The record is from RNAcentral.